RNAcentral lists this long non-coding RNA (309 nucleotides) under Hordeum vulgare. RNAcentral describes it as "long non-coding RNA (HVUL_LNC006992)". Lineage: Eukaryota; Viridiplantae; Streptophyta; Magnoliopsida; Poales; Poaceae. The record is from RNAcentral.
UCUAGUGACUAUAAAGGAAAAUAAGACAUAACUAUAACUCAGCUAGAUGAGUUCUAGCAAAACCGUAGUUGUAAACGGGCUUGCCUUCAGCAGUUCGAAAAUACAAAAAGCCAGUGCACAGAAUAAACAGUCAUCAGGUUAACUGAAUGUAACUUGUUAGCCAUCAGGUUAACUGAAUGUACUACUAACUUAUUAGCAUUCAGAGUGUAGCCAGUAAUACAGCACUAUCUCAGUUCGCAAGCAACGGAAACCAAAUUUGAUGCUAAUGGUACCAGCUCCUAGUUUUCAGAAGAAGAAAAUGACGGGGGG